UCAUCUGAGGACCUAGUUAAAUGUAGGUUCUGAUUAAGUAGGUCUGGGAUUCUGCCUUUCUAACAAGCUCCCAGGUGAUGCCA
This 83-nucleotide microRNA precursor is filed under the name Tursiops truncatus (common bottlenose dolphin). Its description in RNAcentral is "miRNA (ENSTTRG00000025274.1)". Lineage: Eukaryota; Metazoa; Chordata; Mammalia; Artiodactyla; Delphinidae. The record is from RNAcentral.